RNAcentral lists this long non-coding RNA (2179 nucleotides) under Mus musculus (house mouse). Its description in RNAcentral is "long non-coding RNA chr4:119626938-119629117". The record is from RNAcentral. Lineage: Eukaryota; Metazoa; Chordata; Mammalia; Rodentia; Muridae.
UCAUGAAUCCACCGAGUAAGUCAAAGAAUCUGGAGUUGGUACUCAAAAACAGUGCAGAGGGCCGUUGUUCCUGAGCAAGCUUGUCACUUGUCAUUCGGUGUUGUAGAGAGAGUGUUGUACCUGUCAGUGUGAUUCCUCAGCUGCAUCUUGGCAGCUCUGAAAUGUGUGGGCUGACUGAAACUGGGUAUUGCUUGGCUCUUCAAACAAACCAAUGUCUCCAUAGUCACUUAUGUAUUUAUUAUUCAAAAGUGUUAUUUUAAUAUUUAUUGCUCUGUGAAUGCACAGUUCUGUUGGAUUCACUAGGGAGGGAUUUGUCUGAAAGCAUGGUUAUUUUUCUGGAUAAAGUUUACAGACAAAGACAAUCAGAAGCAUUGGUCCUUCUCUUUUAUCAUCACUCCUUACCAGGUGAGCGUGCUUCCUGUCUUGCUUAGCCUUCCUGCUGGGGGAGACUUAAUAGCUACAUAGGAAUUUCCUGGAAUUUGAAUCAGUCUAUUUAGGCAGCAAGAUACAGAGGCUGGGUUUAUACAGCAGUGUCCCUGCUGUUGGUAACGCUAGCAGGGGCUGCAUGCAGCUCCAGAGUCUUAUCUGCUUCAGUCUUGAGUGCAGUGACUGACUGCGUGACCUGCUGUUGGGUCUGUGUGUCCCCAACAUGAAGCACCUCAGAGCUUUGAUCAGUUGCUUUGUUUUGUGUCAUGUCACAGCUAGCAUGGGUUGAAUGUGUUGAUUUUAUAAUGAAAGUAAAGAAAGGAGAUUCUCCUCCCCACAGUGAAUAGAUCGUUAAUUGGUUCUUUACAGAGAGGGAAAUCCAUUUUAAUGAGAAAAUAGAUUCUGUCAAAUCAAGAAGAAAUAACUGGUCACCAGUUGCUUGUUAGUGUCUCUGGGCUAAGCAGUGCUUAAUCACAUUGACUAACCUCAGCGAGUCUGUGGAUGAGUAAUCUCUACUGGAACAAAGGUUUCUGUGUGUGUGUGUGUGUGUGUGUGUGUGUGUGUGUGUGUGUGUGUGUGUAAGUGCAAGAGAUCAUGAAAGAGACGGGGCACGGGGAGAGAAUGAGAAUAUCUGUGUAUGUGUUAAUGGAGUGUUGUCUUGAAUGAAUCCCUGGGAAGCCAUGGGGAGUGCAGGGAAGAAGGGAGAGCCUCGGGCUUCGCUGUUGCUUGGACCCCCACUUGGCAUGAGAGAAAGAAGCUCAGGUACAGAGGAUUCUCAACCAAUAGCCAACAGGCCUCACUCGGAAGGACUGGGCAAGAUGAGAUGGCUGUCUGCAGAGAAAAAGCUUGGGAAAAUGAGGUCCUCAGUAGUUUGCUCAAGUCUCUGUUUUCUAGACACCAAAAUGGCUGCUCUGUGACUAGGAUUGCUCCGCAGCAGUGUGCACUUUAAAUGAUUGGGUGUUGGAGUAUCGCAGUCUGAAACAGCAUGGCUUGAUGAAUUUACAGAUUAUGUGAAGCUAACUUCCCAUUUGACAAUUACUGAUUUGCAGUGAUCGAUAUAUUUAUGAAUGUUUAAACUGACCAAGAAUGGCACUUGAGGCCACUCACCACUCUUCUGUGAUUCCCUGUUUCCCUGGGGCUCAGCAAGCCUGAGUGCCUGGGCAGGGAAGGCUACCUGGUGGGCGCAGAGUCCCUCUAGUGGCCAUUUCUGAUUUAUUUGAUGACACACAGCAAGUUCUCUAGGGCUGAAAUUAACUGGAGACUUGGGGUAAGGACUAACAAACAUACAUACACAGAUGGGGCGCUCUGUCCAGGAGAAGAGUCCGACUGGCAUUUGUGGCAGUGUUUGAAAUGUAAAUGUACUCCUGUGUGUUCCUGUAAAUAUUUAAUAUGUGUCUCAGACGUCCUUUGAAGUGGGAGGGGAUCGAUCUUGGGAUAAUUUCAAAUGGAAUAGAGUAUUUUGAUAUGUUCAUUGAAAGGGUGAUGUGUACAUACUUAUAUUGUAUAUAUGUGGUGACAUGCAUUGGCUUUUGUGCAGAAACAACCUGCUCUUGUGCUGCUGUUGGACAGUCAAGUGUUUUAAUGUUUCUACAGUUUUCCUAUUGCACGAUUUCAUAUUCUGCCAAUGGUGAGUGGCACCCAUUCUUUGUAACCGUAUAGUGCUGUAAAGAAAUAUUCCAAGUGUCAUUAGGAUUGUCGCUGCCAGAAUUGAUAUGCAUGGAUGGCACUUAAAAUAAAUAUAUUAUGAUAACUG